This 1945-nucleotide long non-coding RNA is filed under the name Vigna radiata. RNAcentral's name for it is "long non-coding RNA (VRAD_LNC009582)". The record is from RNAcentral. Lineage: Eukaryota; Viridiplantae; Streptophyta; Magnoliopsida; Fabales; Fabaceae.
AAUUUGAUGCGAACUAUCGCUUUCUCUCAAUUUCAGUCACAAAGAGAAGAAGGGCGAUCUGAUUCGCCAUCGACGAAACAUGAAACCCAUGUUUUUCAAUUUUCUAGGUAUACGCAGCUUUAUUUUAUUUUUUAUUUUUUUCUAGAUUUAAUGUUUCUUAUUCAAUGUUUGUCUUCCAAUGGAUUCUGCAAUCUUAACUUUACCUCUGUUUUAGUAACCCUGAAAUCGAACUAGAUCUAAUUUAUAUGCUGUUCAAAAGAGCUCCUUUUAUCCAUCUGAGAGAUGUUAGAACAGGAAAGGUCAAACCCUAAAUCGUGGAAUAUGGGUUUAGCUUUUGCAACUUUGUUAAAUGUCGAUUGAUAAGUACCUAAGGUUUGUUUGAACACUUGUUUUUGUUAUGAAACUUAGUAUGAAAUUUUCAGCCCUGUACAAGGAUUUUUUUCUUAGUUUAAUAAAUGAGUUUUAUAUUAUCAACUAAUUGGAAAUCAUUGUUGGGUAUAAUUUUGAAGUUAUUAUUACUAUGAAAAUUGAUAGACUUAUUAUACAUGACGUUUCGAAUUCCUCUACACAUACAUUACUUUUUUAAACUUAAAGUUCAACGUUUGUUUUGUCAAAAUCACAUUUCUCUUUUGCAAACGGGAAUUUCUAGGCUGUGCUUUCAUAUAAAUCUUAACAUGUCAGAUGUCUGAGUUUGUUCAUGCAAUAUUAGAUUGCUCUCGCUGUGCUGGAUUGCAGGUAUUUUCUGCUUCUUCAGAUGACGAACAUUGAGUUUCUACUGCCCCCUGUCUGUUCUUUAUAGAAAUUGUGGAUCUUUAUGAUUUCGAUGAGUAAAUUCAAAUAUUGGACAUUGGCUGGUUGAUGUUUGACACAUGGAUGUUUGUUGCGUGCUAUCAUCCAGUCCCUUAACAAUCAAAAGGAGUAUCUGCUUAACAUGGUUUUAUGGUAUUGGUUGUUAGAUGGUACUCACACUGCUGUCAUUAAAUAUCGUUGUUCAUGUUACUUCAUGUGUUGGAUGCCUACUAAAUAUCACGGUAGCAAAUAAGCUGUUUACUGUGAAAAAUCUAACCUUGGAAGUCAUAAUGACUCCAAGAUAAUAUGAACUUAAAAGAAUUAGGAUUUCCUUUACCUAGAAGUCCAGAUUGAUUUGAGUGAUAAAAGUUGUUCAAAUGGCUAUACAGAAUACAAUUUUCUGCUUACAUGUCUCACCAUAUUAUCAAGGAAAUAAAUGAAGUUCCAAAAAAUUGAAUAUAUAUGCUCCUAGGCAACUUGGCUAAUUGAAAACAAAUGUAGUUCUUUCUGUUAAGAAAUUUUAAUUGAAUGAUGAAACUUGAAUAAAAAAAAAUCAAGUGAAAUAUGUUGCCAUGUAGCUGGAGGCAGCUUUCAAUGGAUAAAAAUAGACAGUUGCAUUUGGGACCAUUUGGUGAGUUAUGAGUAAUACUAGCUUGGAGUUCUCCAGUUUUCCAGUUUUCCCGUAUACCUUUUUGUGUAGUCUUUAGCUUUAUGAAAAUAUCAAACUCGAGUGUAGUCCAUAACUCCAUUGCCUAUCUAGUGUCGAGCCAAAUGGAUACUAAAGUUUUAUUCUCUGACUGAGCUAUAAACAUGCAAUGGCUACAUGGUUAAGUAUAUAAAAGAAAAGUAACUAACAGUCAGAAGAAGGCCAGGUUCAAUUUCAAGACAUUGAACAAUUCUGGCUUUAGAAGUCAUAAUAAGAACAUAUACUUGCCUUCUUGUUUUGGUGACUCUUAAACUACUUUUGAAGUGCAUCAUCAACUUUAUCUACUUCAAUUUAAGGGAGUGUACACCCUCAUUUGCAUACUUUAGAGACAAACUUUAGAGGGGGAUUCUGGCGUAACGAAGCUAUAGCGAUUCCAAUGAUGGAAAACCUUUUCUUUAUAUUUCAAAGACAGAAAUAUGGAGUCCAUGAACUUUCUUUAAGUUAGUCAUA